CGAUGAUACGCGAGAACCUUACCUGGUCUUGACAUGUUAGGAACCCUUAAGAGAUUAGGGGGUGCCUGCUUGCAGGAGCCUAAACACAGGUGGUGCAUGGUUGUCGUCAGCUCGUGUCGUGAGAUGUUGGGUUAAGUCCCGCAACGAGCGCAACCCUUGUUGCUAGUUACCAGCACGUAAUGGUGGGAACUCUAGCGAGACUGCCGGUGACAAACCGGAGGAAGGUGGGGAUGACGUCAAAUCAUCACGCCCCUUAUGACCUGGGCUACACACGUGCUACAAUGGGCGGUACAAAGGGCUGCGAACCCGCGAGGGGGAGCGAAUCCCAAAAAGCCGCUCUCAGUUCGGAUUGCAGGCUGCAACUCGCCUGCAUGAAGCCGGAAUCGCUAGUAAUCGCGGAUCAGCAUGCCGCGGUGAGUACGUUCCCGGGCCUU
This 434-nucleotide ribosomal RNA is filed under the name uncultured Geobacillus sp. Its description in RNAcentral is "bacterial SSU rRNA". It matches the Rfam family "Bacterial small subunit ribosomal RNA", at positions 952 to 1382 of the family's 1533-position model. The record is from RNAcentral. Lineage: Bacteria; Bacillati; Bacillota; Bacilli; Caryophanales; Anoxybacillaceae.